Molecule: long non-coding RNA, 684 nt
Organism: Populus euphratica (Euphrates poplar)
Lineage: Eukaryota; Viridiplantae; Streptophyta; Magnoliopsida; Malpighiales; Salicaceae
Exons: 2
Source: RefSeq, a predicted model, not a curated record
GGAUGAAUGUCGAUAAAGUUCUUGCGGGUGUCUUCACCUCUAAAACUCAAGAACACUUGAUAUUUACAAUUAGAGAACCGUGAAGAUGAGGAUUCUUGAUAUUUCCCAGAAGCCAUUUCGAGACUAGCAAAGAAAAAAAAAAAAAAGUUGCAGGAUGAAUGUCGAUAAUUCAAGAUCGAUUGCACAGCAAUUAGCUGAAGUAUUUAUAUAUGGUUAUCUGACUUUUUCUUGAAAACAUUUUUUAAGUUAUUUCCCAGCAAUCAACUCCCCCAAGCCCUUUCAGAGAAAUAUCUGUACAUAUUUUAACCGCACUUGCUACCACGCAUUUAGAAGCACAGAUGGAGCAGGAAAGGAAAGUCAUUAAGGAUCCCCAUCUGGCUAUGUAAGCCUUAAUUAUUUAGAAAGCACACAUCUUGUAAUCCUUAUAAAGCCCACUGAGGUGAAUUUGUUAGUUUAUAAUUUUUUGAGUGGCAUAAUAUGAUGAGAUGAUGAACAAGUAGUCACUAGCAGUGGUCUAAUCUAAGUGAUCAUCAACAAAGAAAACAAGACAGCAGCUGGAACCAAAGUAAACAGGAGAUAAGAAAGAGAGAGUACCUGCAAGUUUCCCUUCCCUUCUCUCUUCAGUUGUGGCUGCCGUGCUGUAUCAGUAAUCUAAGCGGUUCUGCUCCAAAAUUUUAAGACAAC